GGGCGUGUAGCUCAGGUGGUUAGAGCGCAGUCCUGAUAAGACUGAGGUCCCAGGUUCGAGCCCUGGCACGCCCA
This 74-nucleotide transfer RNA is filed under the name bacterium. RNAcentral's name for it is "tRNA-Ile". It matches the Rfam family "tRNA". Rfam says of the family: Transfer RNA (tRNA) molecules are approximately 80 nucleotides in length. Their secondary structure includes four short double-helical elements and three loops (D, anti-codon, and T loops). The record is from RNAcentral.